GCCCCUUCGGGGGUACUCGAGUGGCGAACGGGUGAGUAACACGUGGGUAAUCUGCCCUGCACUUCGGGAUAAGCCUGGGAAACUGGGUCUAAUACCGGAUAGGACCACUUGGCGCAUGCCUUGUGGUGGAAAGCUUUUGCGGUGUGGGAUGGGCCCGCGGCCUAUCAGCUUGUUGGUGGGGUGACGGCCUACCAAGGCGACGACGGGUAGCCGGCCUGAGAGGGUGUCCGGCCACACUGGGACUGAGAUACGGCCCAGACUCCUACGGGAGGCAGCAGUGGGGAAUAUUGCACAAUGGGCGCAAGCCUGAUGCAGCGACGCCGCGUGGGGGAUGACGGCCUUCGGGUUGUAAACCUCUUUCAGCAGGGACGAAGCGCAAGUGACGGUACCUGCAGAAGAAGCACCGGCCAACUACGUGCCAGCAGCCGCGGUAAUACGUAGGGUGCGAGCGUUGUCCGGAAUUACUGGGCGUAAAGAGCUCGUAGGUGGUUUGUCGCGUUGUUCGUGAAAACCGGGGGCUUAACCCUCGGCGUGCGGGCGAUACGGGCAGACUGGAGUACUGCAGGGGAGACUGGAAUUCCUGGUGUAGCGGUGGAAUGCGCAGAUAUCAGGAGGAACACCGGUGGCGAAGGCGGGUCUCUGGGCAGUAACUGACGCUGAGGAGCGAAAGCGUGGGGAGCGAACAGGAUUAGAUACCCUGGUAGUCCACGCCGUAAACGG
This 720-nucleotide ribosomal RNA is filed under the name Mycobacterium simiae. RNAcentral's name for it is "bacterial SSU rRNA". It matches the Rfam family "Bacterial small subunit ribosomal RNA", at positions 74 to 809 of the family's 1533-position model. The record is from RNAcentral. Lineage: Bacteria; Bacillati; Actinomycetota; Actinomycetes; Mycobacteriales; Mycobacteriaceae.